UACGUAGGGUGCGAGCGUUACUCGGAAUUACUGGGCGUAAAGCGUGCGCAGGCGGUUCUUUAAGUCAGGUGUGAAAGCCCUGGGCUUAACCUAGGAAUUGCGCUUGAGACUGGAUAGCUUGGAGUGCGGCAGAGGGAGGUGGAAUUCCACGUGUAGCAGUGAAAUGCGUAGAGAUGUGGAGGAACACCGAUGGCGAAGGCGGGUCUCUGGGCAGUAACUGACGCUGAGGAGCGAAAGCGUGGGGAGCGAACAGG
This 254-nucleotide ribosomal RNA is filed under the name uncultured bacterium. RNAcentral's name for it is "partial 16S ribosomal RNA". It matches the Rfam family "Bacterial small subunit ribosomal RNA", at positions 524 to 776 of the family's 1533-position model. The record is from RNAcentral.